Molecule: non-coding RNA, 22 nt
Filed under: Arabidopsis thaliana (thale cress)
Lineage: Eukaryota; Viridiplantae; Streptophyta; Magnoliopsida; Brassicales; Brassicaceae
Source: RNAcentral
UUCACCAUGUUGCAUAAUUCAC